GGUUGUGUAAGGGCCCAAUUUGCUGGCUACUCUGCCUAAAAUGUUGAGGUGUACUUGGUUGAGAAAAAGAAGAAGGUGAGGAAGACAUUUGAGGGUGGUUUUCUGACAGGGAGACGUGUUGUGAUUUUUUAUUCAAUGCUUCGUGGUGGGGAUCUGGUCCACUUUGCUGGCUAUCGUGCUCAGAAUGUAGAGCUGUACUUGGUUGAGAAUUAGAAACAGGUGAGGAGGACGACGCCAGUGUGUUG
Molecule: unclassified non-coding RNA, 245 nt
Filed under: Hevea brasiliensis (rubber tree)
Lineage: Eukaryota; Viridiplantae; Streptophyta; Magnoliopsida; Malpighiales; Euphorbiaceae
Source: RNAcentral